RNAcentral lists this long non-coding RNA (274 nucleotides) under Sorghum bicolor (sorghum). Its description in RNAcentral is "long non-coding RNA (SBIC_LNC009416)". Lineage: Eukaryota; Viridiplantae; Streptophyta; Magnoliopsida; Poales; Poaceae. The record is from RNAcentral.
CCGGCAAAUUAAUUUUUUUUUCAUAUUUUUGGCCUCAUUUUUUUCUAGAGCUUUCCUACAGUAACUAAAACUCCUUUUCAAAAUUUGAGAUAAUUUGGAGUUCUUUUACUAAAUUUCUUUAAUUAUUUUUAUUUCAUUGAAUUUUUUCGAAUAUUCCAAAUUUGAACAGUAGGUACAUAAAAUAACAGAAUUUGGUCAUUCAGAAAAUAGUAUUCAUGAUUUUUAGCCUAUAUUGAGACCGUAUCCCGGAACUAGCAUGAAAUUUCGCGCAUCU